AUCAGGGGGAUAGCCCGAAGAAAUUCGGAUUAACACCGCAUAAAAACACAGGAUAGCAUUAUCCCAUGUUCAAAUAUUUAUAGGAUUAAGAUGGGCAUGCGUGUCAUUAGCUAGUUGGCGGGGUAACGGCCCACCAAGGCGACGAUGACUAGGGGAUCUGAGAGGAUGACCCCCCACACUGGUACUGAGACACGGACCAGACUCCUACGGGAGGCAGCAGUAAGGAAUAUUGGUCAAUGGAGGCAACUCUGAACCAGCCAUGCCGCGUGCAGGAAGACAGCCCUCUGGGUCGUAAACUGCUUUUAUUCGGGAAUAAACCUACUUACGUGUAAGUAGCUGAAUGUACCGAAGGAAUAAGGAUCGGCUAACUCCGUGCCAGCAGCCGCGGUAAUACGGAGGAUCCAAGCGUUAUCCGGAUUUAUUGGGUUUAAAGGGUGCGUAGGCGGCUUAUUAAGUCAGGGGUGAAAGACGGUGGCUCAACCAUCGCAGUGCCCUUGAUACUGAUGAGCUUGAAUGAACUAGAGGUAGGCGGAAUGUGACAAGUAGCGGUGAAAUGCAUAGAUAUGUCACAGAACACCGAUUGCGAAGGCAGCUUACUAUGGUUUUAUUGACGCUGAGGCACGAAAGCGUGGGGAUCAAACAGGAUUAGAUACCC
Molecule: ribosomal RNA, 655 nt
Filed under: Pedobacter sp.
Lineage: Bacteria; Pseudomonadati; Bacteroidota; Sphingobacteriia; Sphingobacteriales; Sphingobacteriaceae
Description: bacterial SSU rRNA
Rfam family: Bacterial small subunit ribosomal RNA
Source: RNAcentral